AUUCAUGUGCCAACUUUAUACCCGCUGGCAGGGCCAUGUUUCGUGUGGAUGCUAGCUCCGGAUGUCGACCUUCCCGAAGAGAUUCAUUCAUAGCCAUCUGAGAGCCUUUGAAAUCAUUAUAUCUUUUUCUUAAAGCAUACAUAUACAUAGACGAAAAAAUAAUAAAAUUCAUGCUUCAUAAUCAUGCUAUUUUCAAAAGACAU
This 203-nucleotide long non-coding RNA is filed under the name Elaeis guineensis (African oil palm). RNAcentral's name for it is "long non-coding RNA (EGUI_LNC002595)". The record is from RNAcentral. Lineage: Eukaryota; Viridiplantae; Streptophyta; Magnoliopsida; Arecales; Arecaceae.